Molecule: long non-coding RNA, 1399 nt
Filed under: Carica papaya (papaya)
Lineage: Eukaryota; Viridiplantae; Streptophyta; Magnoliopsida; Brassicales; Caricaceae
Description: long non-coding RNA (CPAP_LNC014686)
Source: RNAcentral
CAUGCCGAGGAGCCUUCACGGAAGCCCACUGGGCAAGGGGCCCAACAUGGGGACUUUCCCAUUGGCUGGACAGUUGGAGAGGUUGGGAUCUUUGGGAAUGACCAAGAAAGAAAAAUUAAUAAAAAUGGGGACAAAAUAGAAAUUUGUAAAAGUUAAAUUUGAAAAUCGUGAAGUGUAUUAUGAGAUGAAAAUUGGGUUUGGUAAUUGUGAUGGUGGCAUUAAAAAUAAAUAAAUUAUUUAUGAGCUUAUGUUUUUCAUCCUUUUCUUUCUAGUUUUGCUAAUAAUUGUUUUUCAUUUAAUUGCUACUAAAUCAAUAUAAUAAUUAAAUGUUAAAACUCAUAAAAUUAAUAAAUAAAAAUCAACACAAAGAUGCAAAUAAUACUCACUCACUCUAUCCAUUUAAAAUACCACUGAGUUUUGAUUUUUAAAAGAGUUUACCAUAUGCAAAUUAAUCUAUGAAGGGCAUUUUGUAUAAUCUAAAAUAUCACCCAUCUUACCUAAUAAAUGCACGAGAAAAAAGCUAAAUCACACGAAAGAAUUGUUAAAAUUUCGAAGAUUCUUCUCUGCAACUCAACUGUAACGACCCCGGAAAUAUUAAAAAGAAAUGAGUAUUUAAAUAUAUCGAAUGCGGAAGCGAGAUCAAAAUUUUAGUUAACAUCCCUUACACGAAAAACCAAAAACGUACUUAAAAUAUAAAAGAUUAAACUAACUAAGAGAGGAACUCGAAAAUAAGACUAUGAGUAUGACUACAGAGUCUCUAGGUAUCCCCUUCGUCGUCCUCCUGCGGAACGGGCUCGGGAACCAUGUCUUCCUGAUCUGAAAUGGUUAAAUAAGGAGUGAGCUACACUAGCCCAGCAAGAACAUCACGAUAUCUCACCGUCACGGAGGUAAAGGUGGGUAGAAAAACACAAAAAGACCAAUGGAGCACAAUUUACAAUAAACUCGUUUAUUAACAUGAAAACCUUUACCAUCCACUUACCUUGGUGGAAUUUAUGAAAACAAUAUGAGAAAAACAAUAACAUCAUCAUAAUCAUUGAAUAAUCUAAGCUGUAAAACAUAACACUUAUCACGCCUCUUGUAAUUCAAUCAUUGUACAACAUCUCCCUUUUUCUCAUUUACCAGCCUACUAGUAUCCGUGGGGGUCCAUAGGGGUUCCGCUACCCGUUAACCUUUAACAUUCAUAAUCAGUUUCCAGGGCCGUCCCCAUACCCCGUCCGGUAUGGGCGCCAAAACCAUGAACCUCAAUACCCCCGUCCGGUAUGAGGGUGAAACGGGCCGUCCCCAUACCCCGUCCGGUAUGGGCGCCAAAACCAUAACCCUCAAUACCCCGUCCGGUAUGAGGGUGAAACGGGCCGUCCCCAUACCCCGUCCGGUAUGGGCGCCAAACCAUAAGAUCUCC